AUCCAGCUAACAAGUCCGGAAUAGGACGAAACGCGCGUCUUGAAU
This is a non-coding RNA of Schistosoma mansoni, 45 nucleotides long. The record is from Rfam. NCBI's taxonomy places the organism in Eukaryota, Metazoa, Platyhelminthes, Trematoda, Strigeidida, Schistosomatidae.